RNA transcript from Brassica rapa (field mustard), 2195 nucleotides. It is a transcript of the gene named protein indeterminate-domain 11, with no coding region annotated. The record is from RefSeq and is a predicted model, not a curated record. Lineage: Eukaryota; Viridiplantae; Streptophyta; Magnoliopsida; Brassicales; Brassicaceae.
UGAUUUUCUUCCUUCUUCUGUUUUCUUAUCAAGUUCUUGUUCUUGUUCAUGUUCUGUGUAAUAAUUUGUUGUUACUUCUAUUUUGUUUCAUCGAGACGAAGUCUCGUUGGUUUCAAACAUGAAGCAGAAAAGUGGAUAGAGGUUGUCUCUUGGGUUGAAGCCAAAGAAGGAAGUUUAUAUAUAUUACACAAACUAAAAUGAAAGAAAGAAGUUAGGAUUAUAUAUAGAGACUCUUUUCUUGUAUGUAUCUGUUUAAUCUUCUCUUUUGUCUUCGUUUUUUUAUCAGUAUAUAAAUAGAUCUGAAGAAGGUUGUCUGUUUCUUAUCUUUUAUUGCUUCUUAUAUAUUUUUCUUCUACCUUUUUUUCUCUCAAGGUAUUGUUAUGACGAGCAAAGACAUGUUACUUCAUCAGCAAGUACAACAACAACAAGAGGAGAAUAUGUCGAAUCUAACAUCUUCUGGGGAUCAAGCAAGUGUCUCUUCAGGAAACAGAACUGAAGCAAGUGGUUCUAAUUUCUUCCAUCAUCAACAACAACAAGAAGAACAACAACAGUUCUUUGUUCCGGAACCUCAGCCUCAAAAGAAGAGGAGAAACCAACCAGGGAAUCCAGACCCCGAGUCAGAAGUGAUUGCUUUGUCACCAAAAACACUGAUGGCAACAAACAGGUUCGUCUGUGAGAUCUGCAACAAAGGAUUCCAAAGAGAUCAGAAUCUACAACUUCACAGAAGAGGUCACAAUCUGCCAUGGAAGCUAAAACAACGAUCCAACAAAGAAGUGAUAAGGAAGAAAGUGUAUGUAUGUCCUGAAACAAGCUGUGUCCACCAUGAUCCAUCUCGAGCUCUCGGUGACUUAACCGGAAUCAAGAAGCAUUUCUCCAGAAAGCACGGAGAGAAGAAGUGGAAAUGUGAUAAAUGUUCAAAGAAAUAUGCUGUUCAAUCAGAUUGCAAGGCUCAUUCUAAGACUUGUGGCACCAAAGAAUACAGAUGUGACUGUGGCACUCUCUUUUCUAGGAGGGAUAGUUACAUAACUCAUAGAGCAUUUUGUUUAGCACUGGCAGAAGAGACAGCAAGAGAAGUAGUAACACCACAAGACCAGAAUCAUCAACCAAACCCUCUAAUGAUUCACCAAUCGUCUCAUCAUCAUCAUCAAGCACAACCAAACAUGAACAUCUCUUCCUCAUCUUCCUCUUCCCACAACAUCAUCAAUACUCUUCACUUCGAAACCAACGUUAAUGUGACUAAUAAUUGUGAGAGUAGCAGCAACCAUCCCCAUACAUUUCCCAUGAAGAUAGAGCAACAACAAACCGGUGAUCAAAUCAUCAAUUACCACCACCAUGGCGUCCCUCCUUGGCUUGCUCCUCAGCCGCAAGAUCGCACUUCUUCAAACCCUAACCCUAGUAAUGGUGGUGGAGGAGGAGGAGGUUUGUUCUCUCUUGCAGCUUCUCCGGUUAUGUCAGCCACAGCAUUACUCCAGAAAGCAGCCCAAAUGGGUUCCACAAGAACAACUCCUUUGCCACCAACCACCGACUUCGAGAGGUCUCAUAACACCCUCACCACGACAAUGGCGUCGAUGAUGACCUCACCGUCGGGAUUCAUCAGCUCAAACAACAACAAUCAAGUCUUGUUUCAAGACUACAACGCCUCCGGGUUUAACCAUCAUCACGGUGGAGGAGAAGCCUUCGACAACACAUUCAGCGAGCUCUUCAGGACAAACGCUGAUACUACAUCAGACAAGAAUAAAAGCGGUGAAGGCGGUGGAGGAAGAGAGGGUUUGACGAGAGACUUCUUGGGGCUAAGACCGUUAAUGUCUCAUAACGAAAUUCUAAGUUUUGCCGGUCUCGGGAAUUGCAUUAACGACGCUGCUUCCGAUCAGCUUCAUCCAAAGCCUUGGCAGGGUAACUGAAACCUAAAAGAGAAGUGAAAAGGUAAAGUGAAAGAAAGAUUGGUAUAUAAGAAAUUAAUUAUGAAAUGAGGCACAUGAAAGCAUAAAGUAAGGAGGAUAUGCAUUGGAUUCGAUAUAAGGGACGCAAGUGGGAUCCAACAAAAGAUAGGGACGCGCAUCAAGUUUUGCUAGGUGGCGUGUAUGAAACAUAUGUACAUCAGUACAUGUCACACAUGGCCACAACUUUAUAAUAUGCUAUUGUUGAUUACACGUUGAAACGUUCAUUCAAAUGAUGAUUAAUUAGUUUGCAAUUCA